Long non-coding RNA from Canis lupus familiaris (dog), 1133 nucleotides. RefSeq lists it as uncharacterized. Lineage: Eukaryota; Metazoa; Chordata; Mammalia; Carnivora; Canidae. The record is from RefSeq and is a predicted model, not a curated record. The transcript is spliced from 2 exons.
AAGUGCUUAUUAGUCAGCUUGAUCUUCAAGGCUCUGGCGUUCUGGGCCGUUUUCAAAGCUCGAGAUAAAUUUUCCGCGGUUAGGUCUAAAUAGAUGGCGUUGUUCUCCGCAGAGAUGCCCUCCAUCUGGAACUCGCUGAAGAAGUUCUCCUGAGGGAAGGCGAGGAGGGGACCCUGUGGCCUUUCCCAGGGCUCCCGCGGAGGUGCCCCGGCCGCCCGCGCCUCCUCUCACCUGCUCCAGCUCACACCACAUGCUCACCCCUGCGCUGGCCACUCUGUCCGACAGCACGAAGUUCAGCUUCUCCGGGCUGAUGCGCAGCGUGCAGGUCUUGGCCAGCUUGGCGAUCAUGGCACUGACCCCUGCGGGGAGCGAGGGCGCAGGGCAGCUGCUUCAGGAGGCUGGGACACACGCAGGACAGAGGCGGAGACCCAGGCGGAGGCAGAAGCAGGCCGCACGCAGGGAGCCCGCCGGGGACCCGACCCGACCCGGACCCGGACCGGACCGGACCGGACCGCCGCAGCAGCCCCCAGCCCGAGCGCCGGCCGCCCCCCGUGUCGGGCGCUGAUGGGCGCGCUCGCCCCGCCUGCACUCAGGGUGUCCGUCGAAACACGCGCACUUAGUCCCCCGGUGUUUCCGGCGCCCUUCUCUGGGCCUUUCUAGUCCUUGUUGGUUUCGCCCUCUUUCCCCCUUAGAAUCCCUUGCCGGACGGGCUCAGCGGUCCUGAACUCCUUUAUUCGUUGCCUGUCUGGGGAACUCCCGAUCUCUCCUUCCGUCCUGGACGACAGCCUCGCCGAAGAAAGGAUUCUUGGCUGCGCACUAUUCCCAUUCAGCAAAUUGAACAUGUCCUUCCCCUCCUUUCUGGGCUGCCGAGUCUGUGGGCAGAUCCGCCGAAACUCGACUCACCUCCUCGUCGGUCGGGGACUCCCGCCCCCGCAGCCCCGCCUCGGCCGUCAGGACCCUCUCCUUGUCUGUGUGUCUCGUGAGUCCAGCUGCCACGUGCCCCGGCGGCGUCGGCUGCUCGCGAACUUAGUGGGAGUUCUCUGUGCUCUCGGUUUCAGUGUCUGUGUCCUUCCUCGGGUUAGAGAAGUUUACAUAAUUUGUCCAAAUAAAACUUCUGCCCCUUUUUCUCUCUC